Molecule: non-coding RNA, 30 nt
Filed under: Mus musculus (house mouse)
Lineage: Eukaryota; Metazoa; Chordata; Mammalia; Rodentia; Muridae
Source: RNAcentral
UCNGAACUAUCUAGCCGCCUUUCCGCCCAC